This 633-nucleotide long non-coding RNA is filed under the name Gallus gallus (chicken). RNAcentral's name for it is "long non-coding RNA NONGGAT003795". The record is from RNAcentral. Lineage: Eukaryota; Metazoa; Chordata; Aves; Galliformes; Phasianidae.
CUCCGAUCUAAUCCCAUUCCAGUCCAUCAUUUGAUCCCUCCCCCUGCACUCAAAGCCAGUCCCUUCUUUCUCUUCUACACUAUCACUCGCACUACCGCCCCUGGGAGUGACCAGAGACGGUAGGCUAUGCCCCCUGUCCGCAUUGGACGGACCUUUCGUCUGGUCCCUCCCCAUGUGGGCACUAAGUUGAUCCUGCCCGUGUAGAUCACAGCUUCCUCCGCCCCCUUGAGUCAGGUAACACUGACGUAAUUCUGAUAAAGGAUACAACGUUCCGCCUGAGGGGUUUGGAUACGGGGGAGGGGGACGAGACAACGAACUUUCACUCUCUUGUUGUUUGUCUUCUUUUGAACUGAGCGCGGUCGGCUCAGCCGGCGCCAUCCCGCCAACGGUCAUUGGCGGCUCCGUCUCCUCUCGGCCCCUGCAAGAAACUGCUCCCAAACCCCCAUCGGACCCGACCGGGUCCUGUGUCUCACCUCCUCCGCUGAGACCCAAAAGGCUCUUCUCCGCGUCACGGGCACGCCGGGCAGCCACCCUCAGCAGACAGAUCACGUCGGGGUCACCAUUGUUGCAUGUAGUCUCCGUUCGCUCGUCCGGUGUUCGUCCUCUGUCCACAUGUAGGGCUUACUGCUGGGC